This 425-nucleotide ribosomal RNA is filed under the name uncultured bacterium. Its description in RNAcentral is "bacterial SSU rRNA". It matches the Rfam family "Bacterial small subunit ribosomal RNA", at positions 356 to 773 of the family's 1533-position model. The record is from RNAcentral.
GGGGAAUUUUGGACAAUGGGGGCAACCCUGAUCCAGCCAUGCCGCGUGAGUGAAGAAGGCCUUCGGGUUGUAAAGCUCUUUCGCGAGGGAAGAAAACGCAGCGGUUAAUACCCGCUGUGGAUGACGGUACCUUGAUAAGAAGCACCGGCUAACUACGUGCCAGCAGCCGCGGUAAUACGUAGGGUGCGAGCGUUAAUCGGAAUUACUGGGCGUAAAGCGUGCGCAGGCGGUUUUGUAAGACAGGCGUGAAAUCCCCGGGCUCAACCUGGGAAUGGCGCUUGUGACUGCAAGGCUUGAGUAUGGCAGAGGGGGGUGGAAUUCCACGUGUAGCAGUGAAAUGCGUAGAGAUGUGGAGGAACACCGAUGGCGAAGGCAGCCCCCUGGGCCAAUACUGACGCUCAUGCACGAAAGCGUGGGGAGCAAAC